This is a non-coding RNA of Benincasa hispida (wax gourd), 1506 nucleotides long. The record is from RefSeq and is a predicted model, not a curated record. NCBI's taxonomy places the organism in Eukaryota, Viridiplantae, Streptophyta, Magnoliopsida, Cucurbitales, Cucurbitaceae.
UUUUUCUUCUCGCGCAACUCCAGUUUAGUCGAGGCUGUCAUUUUCCCCAGGUCACUAGAGUUCGUCAACCCUACAGAUUUGUGGUCAUUCACGCCAUCUAUGUUUAGCCAGCACUUAGACCGCCAUCCGUCGUCACAACCACGCCGUCACCACUGAUCAACAGCCACACCUUUGAAAUCGAGCCAGCCGCUAGUCUUCAUCAGUGUUGCCAGAUUUGCCAGCUGUGCCUUCACACCAGUCACUGUCGAUCCAGCGCCGUCACCGCUACCAUUGCUUUGGGUUUUCACUGGAAUCUUGGAUUUGGAUUAAAGGGUUGAAGUGUGGUUGAUUGCUGUCCAGCAGGUUCGGGGUUGAUUUCGAUAUGACUUUGUUUGUGUUUUAUCGAGUUCUCGAUGUCUGUCCAGCAGAGUUGGAGGUUUUUCCGGCAGCUAAUAGUUAUUGGGUAAAUUAACCGGAGAUAUUUGAGAUAAAUUUAGACGAUUGGAAUUAGGCCUUAAUUAUUGAUUUUAAAGUUAGUUUAUAAUUUUAGGGCUUGACUCAAGAUCUUAUUAGGCAAAAAGGAAAUAAGCUUGUUGGAUCACAUUUGGGCUUAAUUCCAAGGUAAGUAAUCUUACUAUUGGAACCGCCUUGAGCCAGGUGAUAUAGAUUGUGUGAUAAUUUUAUGUUUUGUUUGGAUGCUAUUGAGAAACAUGGCCAAAUACGUGAAUAAAGUAGUUUUACGAGCAUGAAGUUAUUGUAUAUGACUAAUAUGAUCAAGUGUGGGACUUUGAGACAUGUAUAUUGUGGAUGAUAUUGUUGAUAUGUUAGCUGCUAGAUAAGAAAGUGAAGGUUUGUCCUCUUAACACCAUUAUAUUACAACUCCUAGGACUGAUGGGUUCACCAUUAUAUUAUAGUUCCAUGGAUCGAUAGAUUCACCAUUAUGUUACAGCUAUGUGGACCAAUGGGUUCACCAUCAUAUUACCGCUUUGUGGGCCGACGGCUUCACUACUAUGUUACAAUUCCGUGGACUGAUGGGUUCACUACUAUGUUACAAUUCUGUGGAUUGACGGGUUCACUUUUAUAUUAUUAUGUGAGCCUUCGGGCUACCAGAUAUGUGUUAGUAUGAGUUAAGUCAUUCACUGAACGACCAUUUAUGUAUGGUUGAUUUAUGUGAGUCCACUAGCAUGUUUACAUUUAUUGGAUAUAAAUGCACAGUCUGACCACGGUAAUGGGCUUACUUAUUGAGUAUUUUUAUACUUAUCGUGGUAUGUUUUCAGGUAAAUAUAAGGACAGAUCGGGGAAUGAUAAGAAGAAUCCGUAAUUGUACUAUUGGGGCCAAAUAGAUACUUCUGCUCAUGUUUUCAUGUUUGAAAUGAGUCUUAGUAUUCAAAAUUCUAGAAUUUUUAUGUUAAACUUUUAAAGUCUUAAAUGUUUUUUGAUUUUAUCUUAUAUUUUUAAGGGGACUCGAGCAAAUGUAUUAAGUUAUUAGUGAGAUUUUAUUAACAUAUGAAAUCAUUUUACUUUUAU